CUCAGCUUGCUGGGUGGAUCAGUGGCGAACGGGUGAGUAACACGUGAGCAACCUGCCCUCCACUUCGGGAUAAGCCUUGGAAACGAGGUCUAAUACCGGAUACGAGCACUUACCGCAUGGUGGGUGUUGGAAAGUUUUUCGGUGGGGGAUGGGCUCGCGGCCUAUCAGCUUGUUGGUGGGGUAAUGGCCUACCAAGGCGUCGACGGGUAGCCGGCCUGAGAGGGCGACCGGCCACACUGGGACUGAGACACGGCCCAGACUCCUACGGGAGGCAGCAGUGGGGAAUAUUGCACAAUGGGCGAAAGCCUGAUGCAGCGACGCCACGUGAGGGAUGACGGCCUUCGGGUUGUAAACCUCUUUCAGCAGGGAAGAAGCGCAAGUGACGGUACCUGCAGAAGAAGCGCCGGCUAACUACGUGCCAGCAGCCGCGGUAAUACGUAGGGCGCAAGCGUUGUCCGGAAUUAUUGGGCGUAAAGAGCUCGUAGGCGGUCUGUCGCGUCUGGUGUGAAAUCCCAUGGCUCAACCAUGGGCUUGCAUCGGGUACGGGCAGACUAGAGUGCUGUAGGGGAGACUGGAAUUCCUGGUGUAGCGGUGGAAUGCGCAGAUAUCAGGAGGAACACCGAUGGCGAAGGCAGGUCUCUGGGCAGUUACUGACGCUGAG
RNAcentral lists this ribosomal RNA (661 nucleotides) under Promicromonospora sp. Its description in RNAcentral is "bacterial SSU rRNA". It matches the Rfam family "Bacterial small subunit ribosomal RNA", at positions 74 to 750 of the family's 1533-position model. Lineage: Bacteria; Bacillati; Actinomycetota; Actinomycetes; Micrococcales; Promicromonosporaceae. The record is from RNAcentral.